UCGGAUCGAGUCUGCAACCCGACUCCGUGAAGCUGGAUUCGCUAGUAAUCGCGCAUCAGCCAUGGCGCGGUGAAUACGUUCCCGGGCCUUGUACACACCGCCCGUCAAGCCAUGGGAGCCGGGGGUGCUUGAAGUGCGUCGCCGCAAGGCGCGCCCUAGAGCAAAACCGGUGACUGGGGCUAAGUCGUAACAAGGUACC
Molecule: ribosomal RNA, 199 nt
Filed under: uncultured bacterium
Lineage: Bacteria
Description: partial 16S ribosomal RNA
Rfam family: Bacterial small subunit ribosomal RNA
Source: RNAcentral